This 1313-nucleotide long non-coding RNA is filed under the name Struthio camelus australis. RNAcentral's name for it is "lncRNA (ENSSCUG00000010392.1)". Lineage: Eukaryota; Metazoa; Chordata; Aves; Struthioniformes; Struthionidae. The record is from RNAcentral.
UGCAGAUUGGCAAUCCCUCAAUUCUGGGAGGCCUCAUCACCACUUAAAAAGGGACGGUCAACAUAAUCGUAUUGGCUGGCCCCCCUGCGGGAGAGGCAUGUCAUGCAGCAAAAUAAUUCUGCUGAUGCUGCUUGAAUCAUUUCCCCAAACAGAGUGAGCUGCAGCGACAGCCACCCUUCUUUGCCAGUGUACCGCCACGUACUACUUAAGCCUUUGCUAGCCAAGCCAUGUUGGUUCAGGCGGGGAAACAGACUGCCUGGAGGCUUCUCGGUAAUGCAGGCGUGCUGAAAGUUGGUGCCCCAGGGAGAGAAGGCAGAGCUGGACAAAACGUGGACCCUUUUUGCCACGCGAGUCAGGGAUGUCGGGUUCAUCCUGAAGAAAUGGCCAGAUUCCCCAGGUUUGGCUGUCAGUUCGGCUCUGCGUCCGUCGCUUCACAGUGUGCCUCCCGCCGAGGGCAGCGGUGGGGGAAGAAAGUAAAACGUUCCCGGUUCCAGUUCCAAGAAGCGUAGCUGUGACGGCCACGUCUUUCAUUUCUCAAAGGAGCAGGGGCGAGCUGCCCCUCCUCGCGGAUUUGCACAGUGAUCGUAGUAUGACACGCAACGCAUCCAUCUCUCCUGUGAACUAUGUAAAACCAUCUCUUCCUCGCUAACAAAUACCCGUUUUUUUCAACGCAUAAGUGAAAACAAAACAACAACAACGAGAGGAACUGAAAUGUGGAUGCAAUUACAUCUUUUUAAAGCUAUUAGUUCUAGCUGAGAGCUUGUCAAGCUUGGAACCAAAACUGGCUAUAGCUUUUUUUCAGUAAUACUAUGAACGCCGGGGUUGUGCAGCCUCACAGAGAAACCAGCUCUGUAAAGCAUCUCUAGUACUCGAAGCGCAACUCAGUAACAAGUCCAUCGUGGUAACGAGUUUCAGGACCCAGCAAAACAGCAGGGUCCCUGUGCCCGUCCUGGGAGCUGCCUGCGCGCCCAGGGGUGACCCUGAAGCUGUCUCCUGUGGUGCAGACAGACAUGAGCCUGGGAGUUAGCUGGAAGUGUGAUUCGCCCCCCCAGCUCUACCACAGGCUGCGAACUUCACACGGAGGGCGCCAAGAGGCGGCAGGGGAUUUGCUCCUUCUCCUUCACUUCAAUAUUAAGCGAGGCUUUGGCCAGUGUGUAGCAUGCCUUGUUUCUGCUCCAGGGGCAGCAGUCCUUUAAACCAUAAAGUGCCUUACAUGAGCCUGUGCAUGAGAGUGAGUUUUGCCCUACGGUGCAUUCAAGUACUAUUAUGAAUCAUAUUUGAGAGUAAUAAAUGGUAUUGUGUAUAGGUCUACA